GAUGAACGCUGGCGGCGUGCCUAAUACAUGCAAGUCGAGCGAACAGACGAGGAGCUUGCUCCUCUGACGUUAGCGGCGGACGGGUGAGUAACACGUGGAUAACCUACCUAUAAGACUGGGAUAACUUCGGGAAACCGGCGCUAAUACCGUAUAAUAUAUUGAACCGCAUGGUUCAAUAGUGAAAGACGGUUUUGCUGUCACUUAUAGAUGGUUCCGCGCCGCAUUAGCUAGUUGGUAAGGUAACGGCUUACCAAGGCAACGAUGCGUAGCCGACCUGAGGGGGUGAUCGGCCACACUGGAACUGAGACACGGUCCAGACUCCUACGGGAGGCAGCAGUAGGGAAUCUUCCGCAAUGGGCGAAAGCCUGACGGAGCAACGCCGCGUGAGUGAUGAAGGUCUUCGGAUCGUAAAACUCUGUUAUUAGGGAAGAACAAAUGUGUAAGUAACUAUGCACGUCUUGACGGUACCUAAUCAGAAAGCCACGGCUAACUACGUG
RNAcentral lists this ribosomal RNA (497 nucleotides) under uncultured bacterium. RNAcentral's name for it is "partial 16S ribosomal RNA". It matches the Rfam family "Bacterial small subunit ribosomal RNA", at positions 28 to 507 of the family's 1533-position model. The record is from RNAcentral.